CAGGCCUGAGAUGUCUUGGACCCAGAGUCCAUCAGGGACACUCUGACCCCCUCCAUGUGCUCCUGGGUUUCACAGGAUCAAUUCCUUGCUGACUCAUGGGGUCAGGAGCAGCAUGAUGGUGGGAGGUGAGAGGAGUGAUCACUUGCCCUCAGCAGAACUGAUCAGGGGGCUCUCCCUGUCUCCUGCCCCCCCCAUUUCUCAGGAAUGUGAAGGGUGAUCUGGGACUGAGUGAUGGACUGAUGUGGCCUGUGGGUGGACAAUCAGGGUGGAGAAGGGACAGUCCGGGUGGGAUGGACCCCAGGCAGCCCCCACAUGGCACCAGCCUUCUCCUGCCCUGUUCACAGAAGCCCCCAGAGUCAUCAGCUCCACCUCAACCACACUCACAAAGCCCCCCCUCCACAGCUGGCCGGGCAACAGAGCUUCUUUAUAUUCUUGUUGGGAUUUGUGUGGCCUCUCUGCUUUGUCUCCUCCUCCUGGCCUUCCUCUUAGUCCACUGCCAGCGUCAGAAAAAAUGUGGGCCCCCCAGCAGCAAGGAUGAGGA
Long non-coding RNA from Phyllostomus discolor (pale spear-nosed bat), 541 nucleotides. RefSeq lists it as uncharacterized. The transcript is spliced from 3 exons. The record is from RefSeq and is a predicted model, not a curated record. NCBI's taxonomy places the organism in Eukaryota, Metazoa, Chordata, Mammalia, Chiroptera, Phyllostomidae.